GUAGGUGAACCUGCGGAAGGAUCAUUACUAAACGAGUGAGAAAUUGUUCUUUAUCUGCUCGGUGGUCCUCGGGUUGCUGAUCGGUUUUAACCUUUUGUGAACCAAAAAAACCUUUUCGCUUCGGCAGCUGGGCCUGACCGCCUGUCAGCCUGCCGCUAGCACCAAACCACAAACCUGUUGUCAAAACAUUGUCUGAUAACCAAAUUUUCGAAUGAAAAUUAAAACUUUCAACAACGGAUCUCUUGGUUCCC
Molecule: unclassified non-coding RNA, 251 nt
Filed under: rhizosphere metagenome
Description: partial ribosomal RNA internal transcribed spacer region
Source: RNAcentral